CACGCCGUAAACGAUGGAUACUUGUUGUUGGAGGUAUUGACCCCUUCAGUGACGAAGCUAACGCGUUAAGUAUCCCGCCUGGGGAGUACGGUCGCAAGAUUAAAACUCAAAGAAAUUGACGGGGGCCCGCACAAGCGGUGGAGCAUGUGGUUUAAUUCGAUGCAACGCGAAGAACCUUACCUGGGCUUGACAUGAACUGGAAGGGUGGCAGAAAUGUCCCCGCUCGCAAGAGUCGGUUCACAGGUGC
Molecule: ribosomal RNA, 247 nt
Filed under: uncultured bacterium
Lineage: Bacteria
Description: partial 16S ribosomal RNA
Rfam family: Bacterial small subunit ribosomal RNA
Source: RNAcentral